GUUCCAUGUGAACAGCAGUUGAACAUGGGUCAGUCGGUCCUGAGAGAUGGGCGAACGCCGUUCGGAAGGGCGGCGCGAUGGUCUACGUCGCCCCCGGCAAAUCGAAAGGGAGCUGGGUUCAGAUUCCCGGACCUAGAGUGGCGGAGACGCAAACGAUUCUGGAGAAGCUGGCGGGAGCCCCGGGAAGAGUUCUCUUUGUGAAGGGCAGGGCGCCGUGGAACGGAUUUUCGCAUAUAGUGUCUAAAUAGUUGGAAAAUGUCUUCCUGCACAUUUGCACCGAGCCUCCAUUUAUCACCGGAAUUUUGCUACUUUGUA
RNAcentral lists this non-coding RNA (315 nucleotides) under Gasterosteus aculeatus (three-spined stickleback). RNAcentral describes it as "Eukaryotic large subunit ribosomal RNA". It matches the Rfam family "Eukaryotic large subunit ribosomal RNA", at positions 1506 to 1789 of the family's 3401-position model. The record is from Rfam by way of RNAcentral. Lineage: Eukaryota; Metazoa; Chordata; Actinopteri; Perciformes; Gasterosteidae.